GCGCCCGUAGCUCAGUGGAGUAGAGGGUAGUUGGUCUUCGGAACCGAGGGUCGCGGGUUCGAAUCCUGCCGGGCGCGCCA
This 80-nucleotide transfer RNA is filed under the name Dehalococcoidia bacterium. RNAcentral describes it as "tRNA-Arg". It matches the Rfam family "tRNA". Rfam says of the family: Transfer RNA (tRNA) molecules are approximately 80 nucleotides in length. Their secondary structure includes four short double-helical elements and three loops (D, anti-codon, and T loops). Lineage: Bacteria; Bacillati; Chloroflexota; Dehalococcoidia. The record is from RNAcentral.